AUAAGUGUUAAGGCGAACUGACAAGGAAAUGUCGUUGGGAAGAAGCAAGCAGUCCGAAGGAAGAAAAGGAAGAAUGGCUGAUUAAUUCAACUAGCUGAAGAUGGCAGGCUGAAGUAAUAUUUCUUCAGCAUCUUCUUUCAAUAAUAACGAUGAUGAUGAUGACGGUGGCAAUGAUGAAGAUGGUGAGGAUGACAGUGCCAAAAGUUGGUCGUCGGGGAUGGCGGGAAAUGAUUCAGUAGCAACGAUGAUGAUGACGAUAACGAUGAUGGUGGUGGUGAUGAUUGUGGUGGUACUCAGUUUUUCCAUAUUAACAGAAGCAAAGAAAAUUGUAGGUCGAAAGAGGAGAAGUAGGAGAUGUAAGAAGAAAGGGGAAGUGAUCGCUGAAAGCGGAAAAGAAAAAAAAUGGAUUAAUGAUAGAAAAUAUCAUCAUAUUUUCCGUCAUACAAGUCGAGGUAUAAAGUAUUAUAAGAGUGAAUAUGUAAUGUAAAUAUUGAAACAUCGUCACUAUCUUUCCAAACCCUGUUGCAUAUCACAUGCAAUUUUUGGUCCGUCAAAGUUGUCUUGGUGUAUAAGUCGACUAGUUCCCUCCCACCAAUUUUCAGGCUUUGUGUCUUCAGCAGAAAUGAUUAUUAUUGUUAUUAUUAUUGGCACUGCUGUCUUGUCACUGAGGACAGAGCCAUUGAAUGCGAUUGUCUGACGCCACAUUCCUGGCAUUCUGCUUUUUCCCCCCUUACCACUGCGAACCCGCGUCUUACUUCAACAACAGUUAACAACUAAGCCCAGUAGAUCCCUACACCCCCGACGCCAACAUCACCCCACUGGAAUAUGAAGCGUCUCAAACUUACCAAAGACUAUACAACAGAAAUGAUAUUUAUAUAUUUUUUUAAAAUUAAAUUAUUGGUAACUGUUUGGUUUGUCAAAUUUGUCGACAUUAUCUGUCAGUAGUUUGAAACAUGAGGAGGUGGUGUGGUGGUGGCUUGAUGUUUACUCUCAGGAAGAAAGACAAGAGACAUAUUGCUCAGACGGUUCACCCUUUUCACUUGCGGUGAGCUGGCAGAAACGUUAGCACGCCGGGCGAAAUGCUUAGCGAUAUUUCGUCUGUCUUUACGUUCUGAGUUCAAAUUCCGCCGAGAUCGACUUUGCCUUUCAUCCUUUCGAGGUCGAUAAAUUAAGUACUAGUUGUGUACUGGAGUCAAUCUAAUCGACUGGACCCCUCUCCCAAAAUUUCGGGCCUUGUGCCUAGAGAAGAAAAGAAUAUUCUUCAGAUUUUGAGUUGAAAUAAGCCUUGUGAGUGGAUUUGGUAGACGGAAACUGAAAGAAGACCGUCGUACAUAUGUAUAUAUGUGUGUGUGUGUGUGUGUAUAUGUUUGUGUAUCUGUGUUUGUCUCCCUAACAUCGCUUGACAACCGAUGUUGGUGUGUUUACAUCCCCGUAACUUAGCGGUUUGGCAAAAAGACACCGAUAGAAUAAGUACUAGGCUUCCAAAGAAUAAGUCCUGGGGUCGAUUUGCUCGGCUAAAGGCUGUGCUCCAGUAUGGCCGCAGUCAAAUGACUGAAACAAGUAAAAGAGUAUAUCUGUGGCUAUAUUUCAACGUGUCCUAUUCUUUUUAAAAGUAACAGAGAUGGGUAGAGAGAGAGAGAUUUGGUUCUUAUUUCUAGUAGGCCGAACUACAACUUCGUUACCUUGCAAGUCCGGAGAAUGAAUUAAGAGGAUUAACAAUCCAUAUUUCCAAUGAUAUAUCGAGUAGAGUGUACUUAAGGCGGCAAGGGACUGGAUGGCAACCACCCACGCAGGUCAUGGCCUGAGAUUUGAACUCAGAAUGCAAUGACUCGGAACAAAUACCGCAAGACAGACCAUCUAACAUUGUAAGAAGAUUUCCGCCAGUCCGCUUUGAAAAGGAUAAAAGCAAAGUUGACGUUAGUGUGAUCUGAACUCAGAUGGGAGGGCACCAUAAAUAACGUGCUGUUCUCGGCCAUUUUUUUGUCUUUGAAUCUUAUUUUAAUCUGUAAGACCUCCAAAGCCUUUGAAUGUAAAUAUAUAUGUAUAAAAGAA
This is a long non-coding RNA of Octopus bimaculoides (California two-spot octopus), 2052 nucleotides long. RefSeq lists it as uncharacterized. Lineage: Eukaryota; Metazoa; Mollusca; Cephalopoda; Octopoda; Octopodidae. The record is from RefSeq and is a predicted model, not a curated record.